AGCCAACUGUUAAUAUUGAAUAUGCUUCGAAAUUUGUGACUAAGGUGAAGACUCGAUUUGAACGUGCUCAUCAGCAUCAUGUUUAUCCAUUGUUUCUGAGCAUCCUGAAUUCAUAUAGAGAAAACAAAAGGAGUCUUGAUGAUGUCAUUAGGGAUGUUAAUUUUCUUUUCGAAGGCCAUGAUGAUCUGAUUGACGACUUUACUAAUUUUCUUCCUUGAUUGGGCUGGUGAUAUGCAUGAGUUUUAUUCAAGAAAAAAUAAAUAUUGCAAAUGUUAAAAUCUAGGGUUUGAAUAUGGAGAUAAAAUAUGGUCUUAGAUACAAUUUUAAUGUUUGUAAUUUGCA
Molecule: long non-coding RNA, 342 nt
Organism: Vicia villosa (hairy vetch)
Lineage: Eukaryota; Viridiplantae; Streptophyta; Magnoliopsida; Fabales; Fabaceae
Exons: 3
Source: RefSeq, a predicted model, not a curated record